RNAcentral lists this long non-coding RNA (683 nucleotides) under Macaca mulatta (Rhesus monkey). Its description in RNAcentral is "lncRNA (ENSMMUG00000060386.1)". Lineage: Eukaryota; Metazoa; Chordata; Mammalia; Primates; Cercopithecidae. The record is from RNAcentral.
CGCGCCGUCGCUGCGCAGGAGGGGCCGCCUCCCUGUCCCCGCCUCGACCGCGGCCGCGCCUCUUCUCCGGACCGUGCGCGUGGCCGAGUGCCUUGGGGACUCGGGCCUGGGGAAGCGGCAGGGGCGCAGAGGGAAAGAGCCGCGAUGCGGGGGUGCCACUCGGAGGAGCCUUUGAGUCCUGGGCAUCCUCAAGUUGGUGACCGGGGAAAAAGGGGAUACCUUUCAGUGUCGCCCUACGGUGGGAGCUGAGGAGGUGAGGGUCCCAGGUCUCAGAAAGUGAGAGCAGUGAGUUUGGGCCUCUGGGGCCACUUGAGCAGGGGACCCUGGAGGCUAGGUGAGUGCCCCUGGCCUCUGAGAAAGGGCUAGGGGGUGGGUUGUGGGUGGGGCAGCAGGCUUAGGCCCUGUGUCCUGUACUCUCGCCCCUCGGUCCUGUGCCUGGGCAUCUGGGUGAGAGGUAGUUCCUAGAGCCAGGGGCCUGUGUGUAGCUGGUGCAGAGCUGUCAUCCUCACUGCCAAGGGCUAAGGGCCUGCCUUUGAUUUACAGGUCCCUUUUAGAAGCAAAGGAGAAACAAACAGAUGCCCUCUGACAUCGCUGGAGCUCUGCAGGCCCCUCCGAGGGGACCAUGGGAGCAGGAGCUGUUUUCUUGGAAAACCACCUAGAAUAAAUGUUACCCUGUCACAGUC